Small nuclear RNA from Pipistrellus kuhlii (Kuhl's pipistrelle), 103 nucleotides. Lineage: Eukaryota; Metazoa; Chordata; Mammalia; Chiroptera; Vespertilionidae. The record is from RefSeq and is a predicted model, not a curated record.
GUUCACAUCAGGAGCACAUGUACUAAAAUUGGAAGGAAAUAGAAGAUUAGCAUGGCCCCUGUGCAAGGAUGACAUUCAAAUUUGUAAAGUGUUUCAUAUUUAA